UACGUAGGGACCAAGCGUUGUCCGGAUUUAUUGGGCGUAAAGGGCGCGUAGGCGGCGCAACAAGUCACUUGUGAAAUCUCCGGGCUUAACCCGGAGCGGCCAAGUGAUACUGUCGUGCUAGAGUGCGGAAGGGGCAACUGGAAUUCUCGGUGUAGCGGUGAAAUGCGUAGAUAUCGAGAGGAACACCUGCGGCGAAGGCGGGUUGCUGGGCCGACACUGACGCUGAGGCGCGAAAGCCAGGGGAGCGAACGGG
This 253-nucleotide ribosomal RNA is filed under the name uncultured bacterium. RNAcentral's name for it is "partial 16S ribosomal RNA". It matches the Rfam family "Bacterial small subunit ribosomal RNA", at positions 524 to 776 of the family's 1533-position model. The record is from RNAcentral.